RNAcentral lists this ribosomal RNA (372 nucleotides) under uncultured organism. RNAcentral describes it as "partial 16S ribosomal RNA". It matches the Rfam family "Bacterial small subunit ribosomal RNA", at positions 527 to 896 of the family's 1533-position model. The record is from RNAcentral.
GUAGGUGGCAAGCGUUGUCCGGAAUUAUUGGGCGUAAAGCGCGCGCAGGCGGUCCUUUAAGUCUGAUGUGAAAGCCCACGGCUCAACCGUGGAGGGUCAUUGGAAACUGGGGGACUUGAGUACAGAAGAGGAAAGCGGAAUUCCACGUGUAGCGGUGAAAUGCGUAGAGAUGUGGAGGAACACCAGUGGUGAAGGCGGCUUUCUGGUCUGUAACUGACGCUGAGGCGCGAAAGCGUGGGGAGCAAACAGGGAUUAGAUACCCUGGUAGUCCACGCCGUAAACGAUGAGUGCUAAGUGUUAGGGGGUUUCCGCCCCCUUAGUGCUGCAGCUAACGCAUUAAGCACUCCGCCUGGGGAUACGGCCGCAAGGCUG